Molecule: ribosomal RNA, 269 nt
Filed under: uncultured bacterium
Lineage: Bacteria
Description: partial 16S ribosomal RNA
Rfam family: Bacterial small subunit ribosomal RNA
Source: RNAcentral
UACGAAGGGGGCUAGCGUUGCUCGGAAUCACUGGGCGUAAAGGGCGCGUAGGCGGCAUGCCAAGCGUGUGGUGAAAGCCCGGGGCUCAACCCCGGGUCGGCCGUGCGGACUGGCGUGCUCGAGCACUGUAGGGGCGGGUGGAAUUCCGGGUGUAGCGGGGGAAUGCGUAGAGAUCCGGAAGAACACCGGUGGCGAAGGCGGCCCGCUGGGCAGGAAGGCUCGCAAGAGCCGGCUGACGCUGAGGCGCGACAGCGUGGGGAGCAAACAGG